GUGAGCUUUCUCUCAGUCGCUUCUCUUAUUCGUGGUCACUCCUGUGCUGUUGAUCGAGCGGCCCUGCAGGGUAGCAGAACUCCUCAGGUUAGGCAGACCUGGGAGCCAGUCCCGGCAGGUUCUGGCACCUUAGGCCACGUCACUUCAGUUCUCCAAGCCUCAGUUCUGUCAUCUUUAAAGGGAAGGCUGGGAAGUGGAAACAACCAGAACAGGCACAAAGCCACCCCAUGCAGAUGACAGACUGACCUCCCAGCUGGGUUCCUGGAUGCCCUGGACCACUUACUCCUCCGGCAGAACAGGGAAGGCCCACCCGCUCACCUCUGGACCACAGCAUAAGAGAGGAGGAGACACCCGCUUCCGUUAGACCCCGCAUCCCUGAGCCCUCCGUGCACCAGCUCCGUCUGGACCUUCUGCAGCCCACAGCCUUACUUUGGAGAUUGCAGAUACCACAUCCAAGCUACUAGACACAGUGGAUCUGUGGUUAGUGGAUACUAACAGGAUGUGAGGCAGGAACUAUCACCAUCCCUACUUUACAAACGAGGAAGCUGAGGCUUUCAGAGAGAAGAGUUCGGAACAGUCUCCAAGGAGGCGUCAGACCUGAAAAGCUGCCAGGGAGGCACUGCAGAAUCAGUGCCGCAAAGGCUCACGCUGACUGCGAGGGAACGACAAGAAACGCCCUGCCUGCUGCAUCAGGGAGCAAGUCUCGCCUCCACGUUUUACAAAUACCUGCUGCCCACCUACAUGCCCCAGGUUGCUGGACAGCAGAAACACGGGCUCCACACUAUCCCUUCCAUCCUCCACAACCCUCGGCUUCCCCAUUAGGCCCUCAGACACACAGACUCCUUCCUCCUUCCACUCCCCCUCAAAAAGUCCCACAUAUUAGCUCCAGCAAACAGAGCCCCAGGAGGAUCCCACGGCUUGGUUCUGCCACCAGCCAGACUCCAGGGCACGCUCCGGCUCGGCAGCAUCAGCCCUGCCCUCUGCUGCCCUAAGGAAAAUCUUUGCAGAGCC
RNAcentral lists this long non-coding RNA (1011 nucleotides) under Equus asinus (donkey). RNAcentral describes it as "lncRNA (ENSEASG00005027522.1)". The record is from RNAcentral. Lineage: Eukaryota; Metazoa; Chordata; Mammalia; Perissodactyla; Equidae.